GGCUUAGAAGCAGCCACUCAUUAAAAGAGUGCGUAAUAGCUCACUGGUCGAGUGACCCUGCGCCGAAAAUUCAACGGGGCUAAAAUCUAUACCGAAGCUUGGGCUGCAAUACGAAAGUAUUGCGGGGUAGGGGAGCGUCGUAUAAGAGGAGAAGUCAUAGCGGAAGCGAUGGUGGAUUUUAUACGAGUGAGAAUGCCGGAAUGAGUAGCGAGAAUUAUGUGAGAAUCAUAAUGGCCGAAAGUCUAAGGUUUUUGGAGGAAGGUUCGUCCGCUCCAAGUAAGUCGGGAGCUAAGGUCAGGCCGAAAGGCGUAGCCGAUGCACAAACGGUUGAUAUUCCGUUACCGUCUACAAUUUAAACAAAGGGACACAUACAAAGCGUUUAACCCGGGCGAUGGUUGACCCGGGCGCAAGGGACUGAAAUAAGAGUAGGGAAGUAAAUGUGGCGUAUGGCGAGAAAAGCUUUGUGUAUAGAAGUAGACGCCCGUACCGCAAACCGACACAGGUGGACAGGAAGAGAAUUCUAAGGCCAGCGGGAGAAGGGUAGUUAAGGAACUCGGCAAAUUGACUCCGUAACUUCGGAAUAAGGAGUGCUCGAAAGAGCCGCAGAGAAUAGGCCCAGGCGACUGUUUAGCAAAAACACAGGUCUCUGCCAAAUCGAAAGAUGAAGUAUAGGGGCUGACACCUGCCCGGUGCCGGAAGGUUAAGAGGAGGAGUGCAAGCUCCGAAUUGAAGCCCCGGUAAACGGCGGCCGUAACUAUAACGGUCCUAAGGUAGCGAAAUUCCUUGUCGGGUAAGUUCCGACCCGCACGAAUGGUGUAACGAUCUGGGCACUGUCUCAACUACCCACCCGGCGAAAUUGUAGUACCGGUGAAGAUGCCGGUUACCUGCGGCAAGACGGAAAGACCCCAUGGAGCUUUACUGUAGCCUGAUAUUGGGUUUCGGAAAUCUAUGUACAGGAUAGGCGGGAGACUGGGAAGUAUGAGCGUCAGCUUAUACGGAGUCAUUGUUGGGAUACCGCCCUUAGGUUUCUGGAAUUCUAACCUGCGACCGUGAAUCCGGUCGGGGGACAUUGUCAGGUGGGCAGUUUGACUGGGGCGGUCGCCUCCGAAAAGGUAACGGAGGCGCUCAAAGGUUGGCUCAGCACGGACGGAAACCGUGCCUCAGAGUGUAAACGCAAAAGCCAGCCUAACUGCGAGGAUGACGGUCCGAGCAGUAACGAAAGUUGGAGUUAGUGAUCCGGCGGUAUGUGAAUGGAAAUGCCGUCGCUCAACGGAUAAAAGCUACCCUGGGGAUAACAGGCUGAUCUCCCCCAAGAGUCCACAUCGACGGGGAGGUUUGGCACCUCGAUGUCGGCUCAUCACAUCCUGGGGCUGAAUUCGGUCCCAAGGGUUCGGCUGUUCGCCGAUUAAAGUGGUACGCGAGCUGGGUUCAGAACGUCGCGAGACAGUUCGGUCCCUAUCUGUCGUGGGCGUAGGAUAUUUGAAGAGCGCUGUCCCUAGUACGAGAGGACCGGGAUGGACGCACCGCUGGCGCAUCGGUUGUCAUGCCAAUGGCACGGCCGAGUAACUAUGUGCGGUUUGGAUAAACGCUGAAAGCAUCUAAGCGUGAAGCCAUCUCUAAGAUAAGAUAUCCCAUAGCAUAAGCAAGUAAGACCCCUUGAGGACUACGAGGUUGAUAGGCUGCAUGUGUAAGUGUCGUGAGGCAUUUAGCUUGGCAGUACUAAUAGGUCGAGGGCUUGACCAC
Molecule: ribosomal RNA, 1743 nt
Filed under: human gut metagenome
Description: bacterial LSU rRNA
Rfam family: Bacterial large subunit ribosomal RNA
Source: RNAcentral